UCCGGGGUAACUCAAUGGUAGAGUGGCUCCCUGUUAAGGAGUAAGUUGUGGGUUCGAGUCCCACCCCCGGAGCCA
RNAcentral lists this transfer RNA (75 nucleotides) under Candidatus Kaiserbacteria bacterium. RNAcentral describes it as "tRNA-Asn". It matches the Rfam family "tRNA". Rfam says of the family: Transfer RNA (tRNA) molecules are approximately 80 nucleotides in length. Their secondary structure includes four short double-helical elements and three loops (D, anti-codon, and T loops). The record is from RNAcentral. Lineage: Bacteria; Candidatus Kaiseribacteriota.